Molecule: long non-coding RNA, 1206 nt
Organism: Pomacea canaliculata
Lineage: Eukaryota; Metazoa; Mollusca; Gastropoda; Architaenioglossa; Ampullariidae
Exons: 4
Source: RefSeq, a predicted model, not a curated record
GGUACACCGAGGGUCUUGAGGCAGUACCCACAGACGAUAACCACGUUUCUGUAUCAGCAGACGCUUCUCCUCACACCACUAACAGCGGCCAUGUUUAUUGGUAGUCUCUGAAAAUAACUGGUACAUACUGUAAUACUGUACGGUUUGGGGAUUUUACCAAAGCUUCAAGACCUCAUCAGCAACAAAAGGAUCGGCCACUGGGGGACCAACAUAUCUAUAACAGGGAAGCUCGCAGUUAUCUACACAAUGAAGAUUAACAGGGUUAGUCUAAGGCAUGCAGUUGUUACACAAUGACUGUACCGAAAAACAGAACGCUGAGUGUGUCACAUGUCAAUGCGUACAUAAUGAUGUACUGAACAUUCAUUAUAUUACAUAUAUACAUAUUUUACACAUAUAAUGUACAUACAAAAUGCAUAACAUACAUCAAAUUUGUAGCAAACAUAAAAUACAUAAACACCAUACAAACAUAACCUUGUAAUUACUUGUCGUUACAUUGUAGGUGGCACUGGUUCCGAGUCAACAUGCGUAUACAAAAUCUUUCUAAAUUUAAUAUAAUGCUGCAAUGCAGGGUUGAAGACAAGAACGACAAAGAAAGCAGCAGGAAGUAUUUUAACAAAAAAAUCACUACUACAAUCUUUUAGGUUACAUUUAAAAGACAGAGGAGCAUGAUAUAUAUAUAUCAAAGAACAGACUUUUACGAAGUCAGGGAGACGACUCCAGCUAAAACCAAGGAGGGAAAAAGACUUCAAUGACAGUCAGAACUUUAAAAGAAAGUACCGAGAAAUGACACCCUUGAAGACUUCUUAAAAGUUGCUGACGAAUAUGAUGUUCAGCAGGUGUUUGACAACUUUACAGAGCUCAUUAACGGCAUUCUGGAGGAUGAGCUGUCCACUGGCCGCACUCUACUUUAUCUCGGCGUGGUGGAACGCUACGAAAUGCAGGGAUCAUUCAUAAGCAAGUUGAUAGAUCGCGCAAGUAAAAUACCUGCGCAAGACAUGAGAAGAAGCUCUCGACUGGUGCCUAUUACGGCAACGGCAGCGAGAGAUGCCCUAGUCCAACAAAUUUUGAAUAUGGUCGAUCAAUUCCACUCAAUAUUCAACGACAGGCAAAAAGGAAAAGAUAUGAGUGGUAAAAUGAAAAUGAUAAUUUUCUUCUUUAUUCCUAUAUUGAUCACAGUACUUCAACAGUCAUUAGCAAAAAUAAACA